RNAcentral lists this ribosomal RNA (271 nucleotides) under uncultured prokaryote. RNAcentral describes it as "partial 16S ribosomal RNA". It matches the Rfam family "Bacterial small subunit ribosomal RNA", at positions 524 to 794 of the family's 1533-position model. The record is from RNAcentral.
UACGUAGGUGGCAAGCGUUGUCCGGAUUUAUUGGGCGUAAAGGGAGCGCAGGCGGUGACUUAAGUCUGAUGUGAAAGCCCACGGCUCAACCGUGGAAGGUCAUUGGAAACUGGGCCACUUGAAUAUAGAAGAGGAAAGUGGAAUUCCAUGUGUAGCGGUGAAAUGCGUAGAUAUAUGGAGGAACACCAGUGGCGAAGGCGACUCUUUGGUCUGUAACUGACGCUGGGGCGCGAAAGCGUGGGGAGCAAACAGGACUAGAUACCCCGGUAGU